UUAUUUUCAGAUCUCUUAUAUCUUAUAUCAAGCAACCCAAUAUCACGUUUUGAUCGUUAGUACUUCACCUCUACCCGGGGUGUGUGAUGUACUUCGUUGGCCCUAGUAGUUUCUAUGAUAGGGCCGAUCAGAAUCGGGCAACAAUGGUCGUGGGACAUUAGUUUUCCACAGUAGGGAAAAUUGGGUCACUUAUCGAUGUUAGACAAUAAAGGAGAUAGCGGCAUUCCUUGGAUUUUUUUUAUACAAGGUACCAUUAUUCUAGGACGUCUUUAUCGAAGUUAUGCAUUGUAAUAUAUGUAUUGAUAUUUUAAAGUAAUUCUACUUAUAGGGAAAUAGGGGUGAAUCGAGCCACUUAUCAAUGUUUGGCAAUAAAGGGGAUACCGGCAUUCAAUUCUUUGAACAUUUUUGCAUAAGGUAGCAUCAUUUUUUAAUGUCUUUAUCAAAAUUGUGCUUUGUUUCAAA
Long non-coding RNA from Aedes albopictus (Asian tiger mosquito), 462 nucleotides. RefSeq lists it as uncharacterized. The record is from RefSeq and is a predicted model, not a curated record. NCBI's taxonomy places the organism in Eukaryota, Metazoa, Arthropoda, Insecta, Diptera, Culicidae. The transcript is spliced from 2 exons.